This 497-nucleotide ribosomal RNA is filed under the name uncultured bacterium. RNAcentral describes it as "partial 16S ribosomal RNA". It matches the Rfam family "Bacterial small subunit ribosomal RNA", at positions 28 to 507 of the family's 1533-position model. The record is from RNAcentral.
GAUGAACGCUGGCGGCGUGCCUAAUACAUGCAAGUCGAGCGAACGGACGAGAAGCUUGCUUCUCUGAUGUUAGCGGCGGACGGGUGAGUAACACGUGGAUAACCUACCUAUAAGACUGGGAUAACUUCGGGAAACCGGAGCUAAUACCGGAUAAUAUUUUGAAACGCAUGGUUCAAAAGUAAAAGACGGUCUUGCUGUCACUUAUAGAUGGAUCCGCGCUGCAUUAGCUAGUUGGUAAGGUAACGGCUUACCAAGGCAACGAUGCAUAGCCGACCUGAGAGGGUGAUCGGCCACACUGGAACUUAGACACGGUCCAGACUCCUACGGGAGGCAGCAGUAGGGAAUCUUCCGCAAUGGGCGAAAUCCUGACGGAGCAACGCCGCGUGAGUGAUGAAGGUCUUCGGAUCGUAAAACUCUGUUAUUAGGGAAGAACAUAUGUGUAAGUAACUGUGCACAUCUUGACGGUACCUAAUCAGAAAGCCACGUCUAACUACGUG